GAGAAGUGACAGUGAAGAUCUGAUCGGGAGAGUAUACAAGAGAUCUCAUCGUUGUGACAUUCCACAUUGUCUCCAGUUUGGGACAAUCACUCAAUUACAAUAUGUGAGUCUUGAGAAUGUGGCAAUGUAAAGUGUGUGGCACAGAAGUAUCCAGUAGGAGGAAGACGAAUGGUGACCCUGAAGAGGCACAUCCUCAUUUAAGAAAAAAGAAAGAUGUCGAGUCCAGUCAAUCUAAGGAUUGUUUUUGGUGGGGAUGAAGAUGCAAGAAAGCUUGCACUUAAGACAGGAAUCCCAAAGUCUGUGGAUGAACUUGUCCUUGAAAUAAUGACUGUUUUUGGUGUAAAGCAAAAGUUCAGGCUCCAGUACAAAGAUAAGGACUUUGGAAAUGAAUACAUGAAUCUCACAUCAACCACUCAAAUUGAAGACAGGGAUACCCUGAAAGUGAUUUUUCUGUCAACUGAUGACUUUAACUCCUGCAUGCAUGAGACUGCACCUGAUGUACCGUCCUGUUCCAGCAUUCUUGUUCCUUUGCACAAGACAACCUGUAGCUCUGACUCUCCUAACACAAGACAUGCUAGCCCUUGUGAAUUUGACUCAGUCUCAGAAGUCUACUUGUCUGAGGACUCAUUUUCCAGCAGCACCGAGACUGUCUUGAUUAAGUCUCCGGAGUCAAGAACCAGUUCUUGGCCUCAGGUUUUUGUAAUUCCUCGUUUUUCUUGUUCUGCUGAAAUUCAGCUUCAGAGAGCUGACACAGAGUUCAACAAAAGUGAAAUGCUACUUAUUCCACCACCAAAAUUAAGAUCUGACAUUCUUGAAGGCAUGGCUGAGGAGAUCUUUAGGUAUGCUGCAUACCCCACUGAUAGUCAGCUUGAUCAGGCAGCUGAAGCCUUGAUAAAUGUCCACCCUUGCUUGAGGGAAAAGGGAACUCGCACUGGUCAUGAAGGAUGGAAACACUAUCUAAAGAUAAAGAUGGCUAAUUUCCGCUCAAAACUCAGCAAGAUUGGACACCCAGAAAUCACUGUAAAUUCACUUAGGAACAAGCGUGAAGGUCGGGGUAAAGCAGCAUCAAACAUCAAAAA
RNAcentral lists this long non-coding RNA (1079 nucleotides) under Danio rerio (zebrafish). RNAcentral describes it as "si:ch211-258l4.4 (ENSDARG00000070885.8)". Lineage: Eukaryota; Metazoa; Chordata; Actinopteri; Cypriniformes; Danionidae. The record is from RNAcentral.